UCGGGAAUAUUGGACAAUGGGCGCAAGCCUGAUCCAGCCAUGCCGCGUGAGUGACGAAGGUCUUCGGAUUGUAAAGCUCUUUUUGGCGGGGACGAUAAUGACGGUACCCGCAGAAUAAGCCCCAGCUAACUUCGUGCCAGCAGCCGCGGUAAUACGAAGGGGGCUAGCGUUGUUCGGAAUUACUGGGCGUAAAGCGCACGUAGGCGGACUGAUAAGUCAGGGGUGAAAUCCCGGGGCUCAACCUCGGAACUGCCUUUGAUACUGUUAGUCUCGAGUCCGGAAGAGGUGAGUGGAAUUCCUAGUGUAGAGGUGAAAUUCGUAGAUAUUAGGAAGAACACCAGUGGCGAAGGCGGCUCACUGGUCCGAUACUGACGCUGAGACGCGAAAGCGUGGGGAGCAAACAGGAUUAGAUACCCUUGUAGUCCCUGAGCGGGCUGGCAAGGCGCAU
Molecule: ribosomal RNA, 448 nt
Filed under: uncultured bacterium
Lineage: Bacteria
Description: bacterial SSU rRNA
Rfam family: Bacterial small subunit ribosomal RNA
Source: RNAcentral